Molecule: ribosomal RNA, 253 nt
Filed under: uncultured bacterium
Lineage: Bacteria
Description: partial 16S ribosomal RNA
Rfam family: Bacterial small subunit ribosomal RNA
Source: RNAcentral
UACGUAGGGUGCAAGCGUUGUCCGGAUUUAUUGGGCGUAAAGAGCUCGUAGGCGGCCUGUCGCGUCGACCGUGAAAACCCGCAGCUCAACUGCGGGCUUGCGGUCGAUACGGGCAGGCUCGAGUUCGGUAGGGGAGACUGGAAUUCCUGGUGUAGCGGUGAAAUGCGCAGAUAUCAGGAGGAACACCGGUGGCGAAGGCGGGUCUCUGGGCCGAUACUGACGCUGAGGAGCGAAAGCGUGGGGAGCGAACAGG